RNAcentral lists this transfer RNA (90 nucleotides) under Eutypa lata. RNAcentral describes it as "tRNA-Ser". It matches the Rfam family "tRNA". From Rfam's summary of the family: Transfer RNA (tRNA) molecules are approximately 80 nucleotides in length. Their secondary structure includes four short double-helical elements and three loops (D, anti-codon, and T loops). Lineage: Eukaryota; Fungi; Ascomycota; Sordariomycetes; Xylariales; Diatrypaceae. The record is from RNAcentral. RNAcentral also lists the same sequence under 1 other name.
GGCACGAUGGUAGAGUGGUUAAUACGUAAGACUCGAAUAUUGCGAUAUCUUAUUCCUUCGGGAGCGCAGGUUCAAGUCCUGCUCGUGUCG